This 468-nucleotide ribosomal RNA is filed under the name uncultured bacterium. Its description in RNAcentral is "partial 16S ribosomal RNA". It matches the Rfam family "Bacterial small subunit ribosomal RNA", at positions 28 to 507 of the family's 1533-position model. The record is from RNAcentral.
GACGAACGCUGGCGGCGUGCUUAACACAUGCAAGUCGAACGGAAAGGCCCUGCUUUUGUGGGGUGCUCGAGUGGCGAACGGGUGAGUAACACGUGAGUAACCUGCCCUUGACUUUGGGAUAACUUCAGGAAACUGGGGCUAAUACCGGAUAGGAGCUCCUGCUGCAUGGGGGGGGUUGGAAAGUUUCGGCGGUUGGGGAUGGACUCGCGGCUUAUCAGCUUGUUGGUGGGGUAGUGGCUUACCAAGGCUUUGACGGGUAGCCGGCCUGAGAGGGUGACCGGCCACAUUGGGACUGAGAUACGGCCCAGACUCCUACGGGAGGCAGCAGUGGGGAAUAUUGCACAAUGGGCGGAAGCCUGAUGCAGCAACGCCGCGUGCGGGAUGACGGCCUUCGGGUUGUAAACCGCUUUCGCCUGUGACCAAGCGUGAGUGACGGUAAUGGGUAAAGAAGCCCCGGCUAACUACGUG